UAGUUGGUAGUAUAAUUGGAAGUACUAAGAGUUUUGAUCUCUGCGGGUAUAGGUUCGAUCCCUAUCUUACUAG
RNAcentral lists this transfer RNA (73 nucleotides) under Telatrygon zugei (pale-edged stingray). RNAcentral's name for it is "tRNA-Gln". It matches the Rfam family "tRNA". From Rfam's summary of the family: Transfer RNA (tRNA) molecules are approximately 80 nucleotides in length. Their secondary structure includes four short double-helical elements and three loops (D, anti-codon, and T loops). Lineage: Eukaryota; Metazoa; Chordata; Chondrichthyes; Myliobatiformes; Dasyatidae. The record is from RNAcentral.